UGGGGAAUAUUGGACAGUGGGCGCAGGCCUGAUCCAGCCAUGCCGCGUGAGUGAUGAAGGCCCUAGGGUUGUAAAGCUCUUUCACCGGUGAAGAUAAUGACGGUAACCGGAGAAGAAGCCCCGGCUAACUUCGUGCCAGCAGCCGCGGUAAUACGAAGGGGGCUAGCGUUGUUCGGAUUUACUGGGCGUAAAGCGCACGUAGGCGGACUUUUAAGUCAGGGGUGAAAUCCCGGGGCUCAACCCCGGAACUGCCUUUGAUACUGGAAGUCUUGAGUAUGGUAGAGGUGAGUGGAAUUCCGAGUGUAGAGGUGAAAUUCGUAGAUAUUCGGAGGAACACCAGUGGCGAAGGCGGCUCACUGGACCAUUACUGACGCUGAGGUGCGAAAGCGUGGGGAGCAAACAGGGUUAGAUACCCUGGUAGUCCACGCCGUAAACGAUGAAUGUUAGCCGUUGGGGAGUUUACUCUUCGGUGGCGCAGCUAACGCAUUAAACAUUCCGCCUGGGGGAGUACGGUCGCAAGAUU
RNAcentral lists this ribosomal RNA (523 nucleotides) under uncultured bacterium. Its description in RNAcentral is "partial 16S ribosomal RNA". It matches the Rfam family "Bacterial small subunit ribosomal RNA", at positions 355 to 895 of the family's 1533-position model. The record is from RNAcentral.